GUGAUGAGGAACUCGGGUCUGUUCUAUGAAGACGACAUAGGCCGCUGA
Molecule: small nucleolar RNA, 48 nt
Filed under: Pyrobaculum arsenaticum DSM 13514
Lineage: Archaea; Thermoproteati; Thermoproteota; Thermoprotei; Thermoproteales; Thermoproteaceae
Also listed under: 1 other name
Description: PARsR29
Source: RNAcentral